Molecule: ribosomal RNA, 775 nt
Filed under: uncultured Neocallimastigales
Lineage: Eukaryota; Fungi; Neocallimastigomycota; Neocallimastigomycetes; Neocallimastigales
Description: partial large subunit ribosomal RNA
Rfam family: Eukaryotic large subunit ribosomal RNA
Source: RNAcentral
UAUCUCUGUAGAGUCUGCAUAUCAAUAAGCGGAGGAAAAGAAACUAACUAGGAUUCCCUCAGUAACGGCGAGUGAAACGGGAAGAGCUCAAAUUUGAAAUCUUCAAGGUUUACCUUGACGAAUUGUAGUUUAAAGAAGUGUUUUCUGUUGGAGUUUUGGUAAAAGAUUCUUUGGAAUAGGACAUCAUAGAGGGUGAGAAUCCCGUAUUUGACCAUUAUUUCCAGCUUUGUGAUACACUUUCAAAGAGUCGGAUUGUUUGGGAAUGCAGUCCAAAAUGGGUGGUAAAUUUCAUCUAAAGCUAAAUAUUGGCGAGAGACCGAUAGCGAACAAGUACCGUGAGGGAAAGAUGAAAAGAACUUUGAAAAGAGAGUUAAACAGUACGUGAAAUUGUCAAAAGGGAAGCGUUUGACACCAGUGUUGUUUUCUCGAAAAUCAAUUAAAAAUGGUGGGAUUUUGUGUUGUAUUGACUUUAUCAGCUUUCCUGCACUCUUUUCUUGUCUUUUUUAAUGCACUUUUCGUUUAACAAGUCGACAUCAAUUUCUUUUGUUGUAAAAGGGUCAUUGGAAGGUGGCUUUCUUUUCGGAGAAAGUGUUUAUAGCCUUUGGCCUCUGCAAUCGGAGAGAUUGAGGUCUGCAGCGUAGAUCCUUCGGGGUUAGAUACAUUUGUGCUAAGUUAUAGCCUUUCAUAGACAACUUGUUGACUAUGAUCAGUCAUGUAGCUUACUCGCUUAUGCUAUUUUACCUACGCUUAGGAUGUUGAGUCAUCACACAUCUCU